Molecule: ribosomal RNA, 409 nt
Filed under: uncultured bacterium
Lineage: Bacteria
Description: bacterial SSU rRNA
Rfam family: Bacterial small subunit ribosomal RNA
Source: RNAcentral
AGCGAACGUUAGCGGCGGGCCUAACACAUGCAAGUCGAACGAGAAUGUGGGCUUCGGCCCACUAGUAAAGUGGCGGACGGGUGCGUAACACGUGGGUAAUCUACCUUCCGGCGGGGGACAACAGUCCGAAAGGAUUGCUAAUACCGCAUACGUCAGCGGCGCCCUACGGGCGCUGUUGGGAAAGAUGGCCUCUCCUUGGAAGCUGUCACCGGAAGAUGAGCCCGCGGCCCAUCAGCUAGNGGUGAGGUAAUGGCUCACCAAGGCGAAGACGGGUAGCUGGUCUGAGAGGAUGAUCAGCCACACUGGGACUGCGACACGGGCCCAGGACUCCUACGGGAGGCAGCAGUGGGGAAUAUUGGGCAAUGGGCGAAAGCCUGACCCAGCCACGCCGCGUGAGUGAUGAAGGCCU